CCUACGGUAGGCAGCAGUGGGGAAUAUUGCACAAUGGGGGAAACCCUGAUGCAGCAACGCCGCGUGGGUGAAGAAGUAUUUCGGUAUGUAAAGCUCUAUCACCAGGGAAGAGAAUGACGGUACCUGACUAAGAAACCCCGGCUAACUACGUGCCAGCAGCCGCGGUAAUACGUAGGGGGCCAGCGUUAUCCGGAUAUACUGGGUGUAACGGGAGCGUAGACGGUUGUGCAAGUCUUAAGUGAACAUCCCGGGCUCAACCGAGGAACGGCAUUGGAAACUGGAGAGCUGGAGUGCAGGAGAGGUAAGCGGAAUUCCUGGUGUAGCGGUGAAAUGCGUAGAGAUGAGGAAGAACACCGGCGGCGAAGGCGGCUUACUGGACAGUAACUGACGUUGAGGCUCGAAAGCGUGGGGAGCAAACAGGAUUAGAUACCCGGGUAGUC
This 440-nucleotide ribosomal RNA is filed under the name uncultured bacterium. RNAcentral's name for it is "partial 16S ribosomal RNA". It matches the Rfam family "Bacterial small subunit ribosomal RNA", at positions 338 to 795 of the family's 1533-position model. The record is from RNAcentral.